AUACGUAGGUGGCAAGCGUUGUCCGGAAUUAUUGGGCGUAAAGCGCGCGCAGGCGGCCUUUUAAGUCUGAUGUGAAAGCCCACGGCUUAACCGUGGAAGGUCAUUGGAAACUGAGAGGCUUGAGUACAGAAGAGGAAAGCGGAAUUCCACGUGUAGCGGUGAAAUGCGUAGAGAUGUGGAGGAACACCAGUGGCGAAGGCGGCUUUCUGGUCUGUAACUGACGCUGAGGCGCGAAAGCGUGGGGAGCAAACAGGAUUAGAUACCCUGGUAGUCCACGCCGUAAACGAUGAGUGCUAAGUGUUAGGGGGUUUCCGCCCCUUAGUGCUGGAGCAAACGCAUUAAGCACUCCGCCUGGGGAGUACGGCCGCAAGGCUGAA
Molecule: ribosomal RNA, 377 nt
Filed under: uncultured bacterium
Lineage: Bacteria
Description: bacterial SSU rRNA
Rfam family: Bacterial small subunit ribosomal RNA
Source: RNAcentral